CCGGGAUUGAGUGGCGCCGGCCGGGAAAUGGAUGAGACUCCUUCGGCAUGGGACGGGAGGGAAACAGGCUUGGGAUAAACACGGGGUGCUACUGAGUUACAAUCCUUGGGCUGAAUCAUCUGCUGUAAAGGGAUGUUGACAUACAGACCUUGUAAUGCACACCUGCCAGAGCACAACAGGACACUGACGCGCCUGAUGUGGUGACACUGUUGCUGUUGACACCACGGUCGCUGGCCUCUCGUACCUUCCUAAUGACCCUGGUGAAGGAGGGUGUGUUGCCUCCCGCAGCGUACCUGCACGAGGAACGGGAGAUGAAGCGCUUCCUCGCCUCUCAGAGCUGAGGAUCUGGCUUUUCCAUCUUGCACCACUGUAAACCUCACUUGGACCAGGAGCGGGUCUGGAUGCCUGAGGCAGACCCAGGAGAGGGCAGAGAGAGUAUCCUAUUGUGCAUUACAAAGAAGUCUACUGGGAGCUGCGGAGAUCUAUUUUUCCCCAGUAUGAUUCAUAGACAGUUUUUGUCGGGGUUCAUCUCUGGUGCCAGUCUGCUGAUGUGCCCUUUCUUACACUGAGAUCUUGGUCAUCUGAUGCACUUCUAAUGCAAGGAAUUGAGCUGCUGUGUCAUUCUUCGUGGAGCUGGCUGUGACUCAGUGGUUCUUCUUAUUGGUCUUGGUGCCAGCAAAGAGUCUGUAUCUUUCUGAGUUUCUGGUUCCUUUUCUGUCUGUCUCUCUCUUUGCGAAGAGCUGUAACUCCAAAUUUUAAAGGAUAAUAGUAUCAGCUCAAAUACAGGCCUUUGGAAAUAUCUCAAACUUAUCAAUCUAUUGACUAAAAUGUGCUAUGCUUAUAACCCAUAUUAGUUUUUGUAGUCAGUAAAAUGUAGUUUGUGCAAAUACUUCACUUCACAGUGUGUGUGAUAAAACAGGUGGGUGUUCUGUUUCCCAUUAAAUAACCAAAAGUUUAGAUGAUGGUUAUCAAACAUUCUUUUAUGCAAUUUCAACACCACGCCUAAACUUGAAGGCAGCAUUUCAAACAAACUCCAGAAGUUUACGCAGGCAAGAAAAGAUUUGUGUGUGUGUGUGUUAAGAAAUCAGAGUUCUCCCUAUCAAAUAGCCAUGAGAAGAACAGAUCUGUGCUUGUAAGUGUUGGAAUUUGUUUUCCUUCAGAAUCGCAGCCAGAACAAAAACAAAUAGGUUAUUUAACUAACUGCCUGCGUGGCACUGUUUUCUGUCUUUGUCCAUCUGUCCAGGGUAACAUGCUAUUACCAUACCUUGUUAUACCAUGUACCAUGUUUAUUUAUCUUUAUUG
Molecule: long non-coding RNA, 1302 nt
Organism: Siniperca chuatsi (mandarin fish)
Lineage: Eukaryota; Metazoa; Chordata; Actinopteri; Centrarchiformes; Sinipercidae
Exons: 4
Source: RefSeq, a predicted model, not a curated record